AGGCCGUUAGCUCAGUGGUAGAGCGCCUGCCUUUUAAGCAGGGUGUCGUGGGUUCGAUCCCCACACGGCCUACCA
Molecule: transfer RNA, 75 nt
Filed under: Acidobacteriota bacterium
Lineage: Bacteria; Pseudomonadati; Acidobacteriota
Also listed under: 2 other names
Description: Acidobacteria bacterium tRNA-Lys
Rfam family: tRNA
About the family: Transfer RNA (tRNA) molecules are approximately 80 nucleotides in length. Their secondary structure includes four short double-helical elements and three loops (D, anti-codon, and T loops).
Source: RNAcentral